This 253-nucleotide ribosomal RNA is filed under the name uncultured bacterium. RNAcentral describes it as "partial 16S ribosomal RNA". It matches the Rfam family "Bacterial small subunit ribosomal RNA", at positions 524 to 776 of the family's 1533-position model. The record is from RNAcentral.
UACGUAGGGUGCGAGCGUUAAUCGGAAUUACUGGGCGUAAAGGGUGCGUAGGCGGCGGAGUAAGUUGGGUGUGAAAUCCCGAGGCUCAACCUCGGAAUUGCAUUCAAUACUGCUUCGCUCGAGUACUGGAGAGGAGGCUGGAAUUUACGGUGUAGCAGUGAAAUGCGUAGAUAUCGUAAGGAAGGCCGGUGGCGAAAGCGAGCCUCUGGACAGUUACUGACGCUGAUGCACGAAGGCCAGGGGAGCAAACGGG